AUUCAGCUGAUGAGUCCCAAAUAGGACGGAACGCGUGUUCUGUAU
RNAcentral lists this non-coding RNA (45 nucleotides) under Schistosoma margrebowiei. The record is from RNAcentral. Lineage: Eukaryota; Metazoa; Platyhelminthes; Trematoda; Strigeidida; Schistosomatidae.